Molecule: ribosomal RNA, 341 nt
Filed under: uncultured bacterium
Lineage: Bacteria
Description: bacterial SSU rRNA
Rfam family: Bacterial small subunit ribosomal RNA
Source: RNAcentral
GGGCCCGCACAAGCGGUGGAGCAUGUGGUUUAAUUCGAUGCAACGCGAAGAACCUUACCAGGGCUUGACAUCCUACGAAUUCUUCAGAAAUGAAGAAGUGCCUUCGGGAACGUAGAGACAGGUGGUGCAUGGCUGUCGUCAGCUCGUGUCGUGAGAUGUUGGUUAAGUCCCGCAACGAGCGCAACCCUUAUCUUUAGUUACCUAUAUCACUCUAAAGAGACUGCCGGUGAUAAACCGGAGGAAGGUGAGGAUGACGUCAAGUCAGCAUGCCCCUUACGCCCUGGGCGACACACGUGCUACAAUGGUCGAGACAAUGAGUUGCGAUCUCGCGAGAGUCAGCU